ACUGCAGUGCAGACGUUUCCUGGCCCUGAGGAUCAGUUCCCAAGAUCUGGAGUACAUCUUUGUGUGCUGUAAAAUGUUACUGUAUCUAAAUGCAAUUUGUCAUUCUUGAAUUGUGUGACAUGGUAAUGACUAUGGAAAUGAUGAAAAGUCAGGUUUGGCACCCGUUUGAUAGGUAUAUUCUUAAUGCAUACAUAAGCUGAGAUAAGCUCAAACAACGGCUGUCUUGCUUUAGUCCUUUGCAGGACAUCUUGUUUCUAUUCAGGUGGCUGCAAUGAAACGAGGCUGGCUCCAAUGUGCCAUCAGGGUGCAGAGGCUUCCCUGGGACUCCCUCCUGCCAUGCAUCAUUGAUGUGUGAUGCUAAAGCUGUUUGCAUAGAGCACAUGGGAACCAGACCUGAGCAAGGAAGGUCAAAGUGAAGUGAAAGCAGCAGAGCUCAUCUCAAGCUUUGUUCACAGUUCUGCAACAGGAGCAGCUCUGUGGAGAAAGUGGUGGCUGGCUCUGUCUCCGUUCCUCAGGUGGUCCCAUUUGGAAUCCCUCUUCCAGGGAAGGCUAACCAUGAAGGAGACACAAAUGCUCUUGUAGAAAUGAAAUCAGGUCUGAGUAAGAGCUCUGAAUCCAGAUGGCACCACGUCUUGAAUGCAGACAUCUGCUGCCAGUGACUACACCCACUUGCAUUGGAUGGGAGUCACCAAUAGCUCCACAGAUGCAGCCCCAAACCAACAUCUGCAUAAAGACACUGGACUUGCUGCUUUGUGUGAGUGCAGUGGCUAAGCAAACUGGCACUAGUCUGUAGAAACAUCUGGAGGUAUUGAUGCUGCAUCUGCUGAGGGAACUGUACCGUAGUUUAAAAUGAAUUGUCAGCAGGAUCCAUGGAUUUGUGAUGGGCAGGCACUAUGGCCUAACGAACACCUGAAGCCCACGGCACAGACUUGAAGGAUCUCUUCUAUCUGCAGGACUGAAUAAGCACAGUACUUUGUAAGAUCAAGUCCUCUUCUUAUUAGUGUUGUUCACAAUUUGCAGAUACCAUGUGAAAUGCAUUCUUUCUCUAUUUAAAAGUGCAAAGUAAUUUGUCAGGCAUGUGGCACAGGAAAUCUUCACCAUAAACACUGUGUGACUUGUGCAAGCAAGCUGCUUGAAACACAGAUGCUGAGGCUUCUUCCAUCAGUCACAGUAGGGUUAAUCAAAUCAAAGCACAACAUUCUUUUUCUCUGGAAAACUGAAGUCAUAGCCCUGUGUCCCUGUUAUAAAAGCAGAGAUGCCCUCCCUCAUGGGCUAUUCAAGGCCCGUACUCCCACAGAUCAUCCAUCACAAACGUCCAGCUAAACAGAAGCUUACGUUUGAGUUUCUCCUGUGGAAUUCAGGAUUGUUUGUGCCAUUAUGAAAGCUCAGAAGGCUCUUAGAAAAUGGGUAGUCUUGGCUCCAAGGGAGU
Long non-coding RNA from Pezoporus flaviventris, 1429 nucleotides. RefSeq lists it as uncharacterized. The transcript has 4 exons. The record is from RefSeq and is a predicted model, not a curated record. NCBI's taxonomy places the organism in Eukaryota, Metazoa, Chordata, Aves, Psittaciformes, Psittacidae.